RNAcentral lists this ribosomal RNA (218 nucleotides) under uncultured bacterium. Its description in RNAcentral is "partial 16S ribosomal RNA". It matches the Rfam family "Bacterial small subunit ribosomal RNA", at positions 1284 to 1500 of the family's 1533-position model. The record is from RNAcentral.
CAUCCCAGUUCGGAUUGCAGGCUGCAACCCGCCUGUAUGAAGUUGGAAUCGCUAGUAAUCGCGGAUCAGCAUGCCGCGGUGAAUACGUUCCCGGGCCUUGUACACACCGCCCGUCACACCAUGAGAGUCGGGAACACCCGAAGUCCGUAGCCUAACCGCGAAGGGGGGCGCGGCCGAAGGUGGGUUCGAUAAUUGGGGUGAAGUCGUAACAAGGUAUC